RNAcentral lists this ribosomal RNA (264 nucleotides) under uncultured archaeon. RNAcentral's name for it is "partial 16S ribosomal RNA". It matches the Rfam family "Archaeal small subunit ribosomal RNA", at positions 717 to 982 of the family's 1478-position model. The record is from RNAcentral.
AGACGUCUACAUUAGAUACCCGCGUAGUCCCAGCCGUAAACUAUGCGCGUUAGGUGUAUCGGUGACCACGAGUCACCGAGGUGCCGAAGGGAAACCGUGAAACGUGCCGCCUGGGAAGUACGGUCGCAAGGCUGAAACUUAAAGGAAUUGGCGGGGAGCACCACAACGGGUGGAGCCUGCGGUUUAAUUGGACUCAACGCCGGGAAGCUCACCGGAUAGGACAGCAGAAUGAUUGCCGGGCUGAAGACUCUGCAUGACUAGCUG